This 256-nucleotide ribosomal RNA is filed under the name uncultured bacterium. Its description in RNAcentral is "partial 16S ribosomal RNA". It matches the Rfam family "Bacterial small subunit ribosomal RNA", at positions 524 to 776 of the family's 1533-position model. The record is from RNAcentral.
UACGUAGGGUGCAAGCGUUAAUCGGAAUUACUGGGCGUAAAGCGUGCGCAGGCGGUGAUGUAAGACAGAUGUGAAAUCCCCGGGCUCAACCUGGGAACUGCAUUUGUGACUGCAUCGCUGGAGUGCGGCAGGGAGGGGGAUCGGAAUUCCGCGUGUAGCAGAUGAAUGCGUAGAUAUGCGGAGGAACACCGAUGGCGAAGGCAGCUCACUGGGACGGUACUGACGCUGAGGCGCGAAAGCGUGGGGAGCAAACAGG